GUGCUCACUUCGGUGGCACAUAUACUAAAAUUGGAACAAUACAGAGAUGAUUAGCAUGGCCCCACACAAGGAUGGCAUGCAAAUUUGUAAGCAUUCCAUAUUUUU
Molecule: small nuclear RNA, 105 nt
Organism: Gorilla gorilla gorilla (western lowland gorilla)
Lineage: Eukaryota; Metazoa; Chordata; Mammalia; Primates; Hominidae
Source: Ensembl